UACGUAGGGUGCAAGCGUUAAUCGGAAUUACUGGGCGUAAAGCGUGCGCAGGCGGUAAUGUAAGACAGUUGUGAAAUCCCCGGGCUCAACCUGGGAACUGCAUCCGAAACUGCCUUGCUCGAGUAUGGGAGAGGGAAGUGGAAUUUCCGGUGUAGCGGUGAAAUGCGUAGAUAUCGGAAGGAACAUCAGUGGCGAAGGCGACUUCCUGGACCAAUACUGACGCUCAGGUGCGAAAGCGUGGGGAGCAAACAGG
Molecule: ribosomal RNA, 253 nt
Filed under: uncultured bacterium
Lineage: Bacteria
Description: partial 16S ribosomal RNA
Rfam family: Bacterial small subunit ribosomal RNA
Source: RNAcentral